This 85-nucleotide transfer RNA is filed under the name Vibrio alginolyticus. RNAcentral describes it as "tRNA-Leu". It matches the Rfam family "tRNA". From Rfam's summary of the family: Transfer RNA (tRNA) molecules are approximately 80 nucleotides in length. Their secondary structure includes four short double-helical elements and three loops (D, anti-codon, and T loops). Further hydrogen bonds mediate the characteristic L-shaped molecular structure. tRNAs have two regions of fundamental functional importance: the anti-codon, which is responsible for specific mRNA codon recognition, and the 3' end, to which the tRNAs corresponding amino acid is attached (by aminoacyl-tRNA synthetases). tRNAs cope with the degeneracy of the genetic code in two manners: having more than one tRNA (with a specific anti-codon) for a particular amino acid; and 'wobble' base-pairing, i.e. permitting non-standard base-pairing at the 3rd anti-codon position. RNAcentral also lists the same sequence under 13 other names. The record is from RNAcentral. Lineage: Bacteria; Pseudomonadati; Pseudomonadota; Gammaproteobacteria; Vibrionales; Vibrionaceae.
GCGCGAGUGAUGAAAUUGGUAGACAUUGGGGAUUUAAAAUCCCCUGCCUUUUGGCGUGCGGGUUCGAGUCCCGCCUCGCGCACCA